This is a long non-coding RNA of Colius striatus (speckled mousebird), 2250 nucleotides long. RefSeq lists it as uncharacterized. The transcript is spliced from 6 exons. The record is from RefSeq and is a predicted model, not a curated record. NCBI's taxonomy places the organism in Eukaryota, Metazoa, Chordata, Aves, Coliiformes, Coliidae.
CCAAACACUCAGCCCCCUCUCCACCAUUGAGAAAACAAAGCAAUCUCCUCCUACAUUAGAGAGGAAUCUCUGAGGGGAUUUUCCACUUGCUCCAGAAGGCUCUGAGUUUAGCUACAGGGAAUGGCAACUGGUGUCCUGUGGUUGCCACCCAGAGCCCAGCAGUCACCAGCAGAAAAUGGGAGGUCAACAGGAAGAGGGUUAAAUGCUCAUCUACAUUUUCUCCUGCCACGUACCUCUCAGCUGCCACACAGCCCACAGUCCUGCUCAGCUGUACCUUGGAAGUCAGCUUGUAGCCCAGCUUACGUAGAAACAGGACAGACUGUUGGUCUCAGCCAGCACCGUCACACACCCGGGACUGAGGGAACCAUCCAGUGUUGAACCGUACACACAGGACUAGAGGAGAGAAGGAAAAGACAUCAUCAAGAAGUCACAUGUGGUGGAAGCACAGCCACAAGACGACGUGAUGCCAUCAUGCAUCUACGACGGAUCCAUAAAGCCCUGGGAGCUGAAGGAUUGUCUACCUUUACAUUCAAAGUGGUUUCCCUGUGCUGCAAACUGUAUCUGCACACCACACAGGAACGUGUCUGCUCACCAGAGCUGUGAAGGUGGCCCGAGGAUUACAGAGCAAGCACUGUGUACCCAUACUAUUCAGGCACAGAGAGUGAGAGCUUUCUCCCAAGAUAGAUCCCUGCUGUGAUUUCUUGCAACUGAAAGCUACAUGUUUCUCAAUGUGGAGGACACCAGCAGCUUAACCAUCCUACACAGCACUUGAGAACAUCAGAAUUUUGACUUGGGAUUCAGCUUCAGAGCACUGAGCAGUUUGAGAAGGUUGGAGUUUCCUGAGGAAAAGGAGAUUUUGCUGCUGCACGUGGGUGUAGCUGUAACCUCUGCACAGAAAACUGCAACGCAAGGGAGACGUCACAGCCAGGAGUAACCACAGGCCAGGUCCCAGCAUCUCUAAGAUCAUAUAAAGAACUGUUUAAACAUGAAGAAGACCUCUAAACUCAUUAAUCCAACCAUUAAUCCUGCACUGGCAUGUCCACCACGAAACCAGCACCACAUCUACAUGACUUUUGAGUGUCUCCUGGGAUAGUGACUCCACUCUCUUCCAGUGUCUAACAACCCUUUCAAGGAAGAAAUUUUCCCCAAUUUUUCCUGUUUUCUAUCUAAACCUCCCCUGAAGAACCUGAAGCUGUUUCUUCUCAUCCUGUCACUCAUAACUCAGGAGAAGAGAUUGACUCCUGCCUCACCACAACCUCUUGUCAGGGAGCUGCAGAGAAAGAGAAGGUCUCCCCUCAGCCUCCUCUUCUCCAGGCUGAACACUCGCAUCUUGUGCUCCAGCCCCUUCCCCAGCUCCGCUGCCCAGCUCUGGCCAUGCUCCAGCCCCUCAGUGUCUCUCUGACAUUGAGACACCCAUCACUGAACACAGCCCUUGAGCUGCAGCCUCAUCAGGGCCCAACACAGGAGGACAAUCACUCCCCUGGUCCUGCUGGUCACACUAUUCCUGAUGCCCUUGGACUGGUCACACAAGCCAGGAUGCCACUGGCCUUCUUGGCCACCUACCAACCAACACCUCCAGAUCCUUUCCCUCUGGGCAGCUUUCCAGCCCCUCUGCCCUAACAUUUCAUGGGGUUGGUGUGGCCCAAGUGCAGGACCCAACCCUGAGCCUUGUUGAACCUCACCACACCGCCCUUGGCCCAUUGCUCCAUCCUGGUCAGAUCCCUCUGUAGAGCCUUUCUGCUCUCACACAGAUCAGCUCUCCCACCCAACCUGCUGUCAUCUGCAAACUGACAGAAGGUGCACUCAAUCUCUUCAUCCAGAUCACUGCUAAAGAUGUUAAACAGAACAAGCUCCAACACUGAGCCCUGGGGAGCACUACUGGUGACUGGCCAGUGACUGGGUUUAACUCUACUCACCAGCACUCUUUAUGCUCAGUCAUCUUCAGUGUGUCCCACAGGGGUUCAUCUCAGAAAAUCUGGCCCAUAAAACUCCUUCUCAGAUUUCCCAACUUCUCUGCCCCAGAAUAUUAGAAAUGUGGCACUUGGAAUCUGUUUUCCCAAAACAUUUGGUCUAGUCAAGCCCCUUGAUGCAACAUGCAGGGCAAGCAGAUGCAACAGGGUCACAGACGCUGCUGAGGCAAACGUUUAACGGCUCGUCAGAGGACGAGUGGAUGUUUGUUACUGCCUGCUGCUAGACAGCUCUGUACACUGCUGGUAAUUGCUGUAUCUAGUUUUCUUUUUGUUUGUAUGC